CUUAGGAUCUCCAGAGUGCCAGAGCCUUGCUUGCCCAGUACCCAGAGACCCGUUUGUGUGAUACCAGACUAAACUUAUCACUGCUUUUCUUACCCACAGCAGGAAUGCGUCGGCUGGGCUCUGCCAUCAGCAGCAUCACCUUAAAUCACCUCCCUAACUUCUCACUCACCUUCUCCUGAUGCAUUUUCCUACUGUAGGCAGUGGUGGAAGCAAGGAGAAGGAGAAGCACAAACUUCUCCAAUCAGCUCUGGGUCUCAUCGGGAGCUGUUGUCACGGAAACGGAGAUCUGCAGAGCCCCGUGCGCUCGGCGUUAACCGCCUCGGUGCCGUGCUGAUGGCCAGGGCAGGAUGUGCUUCAAGGCUGGUGGUGAGUGAUCUGGAUCUGGAGCUCACAGCCUCUGCCUGGCUUUGCAGAGAACAACUGAGACCAGCAAAGCCAUUGAGGUGACAGGAGAUGGUGGCAUCCUGGAGGACACAGUGGAGACCAUCAGCUGCUUGUGCUACACAUUGUCACUGGGCAAAGGCAGAAAACUGCUGGACCAUCAAAAGCUUUCAACAAGUGAAGGGUCAAAGGCUUCAAGCCAAGGGGAGGAACUUCAUCUGCAGUUCCCAUGCUGGAGCAAACUGAGCAGAAAGGCAGAGACACAGGGGCAAGCCACAGCCCUCCCUACACACAGCUUGGUGCUGGGGUGCCAGAGCAGGGACCCCAGUUCUUGUCUUGCAGGGUGGUGGCUGUUGGUGCAGUAGUUUACAGUGGGAACAGCUCUGCUCCUGCCUGCAGCUUCCAGGCAUUGAGUUUUGUGUCCUAAUUUAACAUAUUUGUGACACUGAAGUAAUGGUAAGAUCCAUAACAGCCCAGCAUCACCUGGAACCAGUACACAGCUUGGCUGCUGUCACAUCCCUGCAGGAGGAGGCAGGCUGAUUCCAGCACAGGGAGCUGGGGUACCAGGAGGGUGGAGAAGGAAAUAGGGUGGCUGGGAAUGCUCUCAGGGAGAAGGGAGAAUGGCCACACAUGGAGGGGUGAGCCAGCACAAGCAGUGCAUCCGGAU
This is a long non-coding RNA of Neopsephotus bourkii (Bourke's parrot), 1048 nucleotides long. RefSeq lists it as uncharacterized. NCBI's taxonomy places the organism in Eukaryota, Metazoa, Chordata, Aves, Psittaciformes, Psittacidae. The transcript is spliced from 4 exons. The record is from RefSeq and is a predicted model, not a curated record.